GAGAAUGGAGAGUUAGAGUGAGAAGAAUGGAGAAUUUUUUAGAAUGAGUUUUAUAUUACAAAUGGAGUACUAGCCUAUGGCACGCAUGUUUUUGGUGAAAUUUGGAUUUGGUGGGGUGGUAUUUUCGUUAAUUUCAAGAAUUGCACAAAUGUGGUAAGGCUGCUUCCUCGAGGUGAUCAAGUGCACAUGUAUAAACUAGUUGUCUGUUUACUGAUCUGCUUGAUUUAUCUGUACUUUGUUUUGCUGACAUUGAGUUCUUAGAAGUUAGCAUCAAGUGUACAUGUAUAAACUAGUUGUCUGUUUUUUCAAAUAUUUAUGUAUCAAGUGAUCUAUGGAAAUUGCAGAGAAACCAGUUUCAAAUAUUAUGCAUAAAAGGACUUGAAGAAGGCAAGCAUGUUUACAACUGAAAGUCAUUCGUAAACCAAUGUCUGCAUAUAAGCUCUAUAUCAUUUUUAAGUAAAGAAAGAGAGCUGCUAGCACUUCACAGAAUGACUGAAAAUGGUAGGUACAACGUGAUAUUUCAGUGCCAAGCCAAUUUGGGGUGACGUAGUUGGUACAGCUUCUAUUGGUGAAGACCAGGAGAAUAUAUUUUGCAUCCUUGGUAGCUGCUCUAUUUAUAUCUAUACCUAUACUGAAAGAGAUCUGGUAUGCACAAAUAAUUCUUCCUUUAUAAUCAUGUGCUGCCAUGUUUAGGCUCAGUGGUACCCCUUUCCUGCUACAAAGCAUCAUUGAGUUUCCUUUUUCGUUGCGUGAAUCUUUCUUGAGAAAUGAACAGUGCCAGGAUAGGUACAUCUAGUUGGCUCUUAUUUAUGUAAAAACGUUCUGGAGAAAAGAACACAGAAACGAUCAUAUGGGCUCUGGCCGCCUAUCCUUCUCCAUUAUGUAACAUCCCGA
RNAcentral lists this long non-coding RNA (894 nucleotides) under Setaria viridis. RNAcentral's name for it is "long non-coding RNA (SVIR_LNC001500)". Lineage: Eukaryota; Viridiplantae; Streptophyta; Magnoliopsida; Poales; Poaceae. The record is from RNAcentral.